CCCUUAGUUAUCAUAGGUCGCACGCGCCAUACAAUGUGGCGCACAACGAGUCUCCUUGGCCGACAGGAUGUCCCGCGAGCGAUCGGCGACGCAGCCAGCUCGGUCUUCGGGCAGACUCGGUGAGAGUGGCCCGUCCUCCUGAGAGGGCGAUCGUCGAUGCCUCGGGAUUCUGGGCAAUCUGGCAGAGCGCUACGUGACUGGGCUAGACUUUUGUAAUUUUUGGUCUUGAACGAGGAAUGCCUAGUAAUCGCAGGUCAGCAUCCUGCGAUGAUUCGGUCCCUGCCCUUUGUACACACCGCCCGUCGCUCCAUCCGUGGCAUGCGCCGGUGAAGAGGGGGAGGCAGCGUCGGCCGUGUAACAGCGGAUCGUACGUGGAACCCCUCUGAACCUUCGCACGUAGAGGAAGGAGAAGUCGUAACA
RNAcentral lists this ribosomal RNA (420 nucleotides) under uncultured eukaryote. RNAcentral's name for it is "partial 18S ribosomal RNA". It matches the Rfam family "Eukaryotic small subunit ribosomal RNA", at positions 1470 to 1796 of the family's 1831-position model. The record is from RNAcentral.